This 207-nucleotide ribosomal RNA is filed under the name uncultured bacterium. Its description in RNAcentral is "partial 16S ribosomal RNA". It matches the Rfam family "Bacterial small subunit ribosomal RNA", at positions 568 to 774 of the family's 1533-position model. The record is from RNAcentral.
UGUGUAGGCGGUGCUCUAAGUCUGUCGUGAAAUCUCCCGGCUUAACUGGGAGGGUGCGGCGGAUACUAUUGUGCUAGAGGGUGGGAGAGGUAAGCGGAAUUCCUGGUGUAGCGGUGAAAUGCGUAGAUAUCAGGAGGAACACCUGCGGUGUAGACAGCUUACUGGACCACUUCUGACGCUGAGACACGAAAGCGUGGGUAGCAAACA